AGUGGGAGCGGGCUUGCUCGCGAUUCAGGCGACGCGGUGAACCUGCACUACCGCGUUGCUGCCAUCGCGAGCAAGCCCGCUCCCACA
This 87-nucleotide non-coding RNA is filed under the name Pseudomonas psychrophila. The record is from RNAcentral. Lineage: Bacteria; Pseudomonadati; Pseudomonadota; Gammaproteobacteria; Pseudomonadales; Pseudomonadaceae.